Molecule: ribosomal RNA, 113 nt
Filed under: uncultured bacterium
Lineage: Bacteria
Description: partial 16S ribosomal RNA
Rfam family: Bacterial small subunit ribosomal RNA
Source: RNAcentral
CCCCGGGGUCUUGUACACACCGCCCCGUCACACCAUGGGAGUGGGUUUCACCAGAAGUAGGUAGCUUAACCUUCGGGGGGGCGCUUACCACGGUGAGAUUCAUGACUGGGGUG